Nicotiana tabacum (common tobacco) is the source of this 394-nucleotide long non-coding RNA. RefSeq lists it as uncharacterized. The record is from RefSeq and is a predicted model, not a curated record. Lineage: Eukaryota; Viridiplantae; Streptophyta; Magnoliopsida; Solanales; Solanaceae.
AGUUAAAUCUUGUCAUGCUUAAUUUUGCGGCUGAGUGGAGACUACCAUGCUGGACAGCCCUUUUUUUGAACCCUCCUUGAAUGUGAAAUAUUCUGAGAGUUCUUUGACAAUCUCCCAGUUCUAUAAUCACGUUCGUCUCAGUAGCAGACAGCUGAGUUCUACCUUCCAUAGUUUUCUAUGAUGGUAUUUGACUGGAUCUAGAGUUUAAAAUGUUUAUGUGACUUGUAUAUUAUAGUAGCAAUAGUGGAACAAAUAAGUUGGACUGUCUUAUGCAACAAAGGUUUAUGGGUUUUGGUUUCUGAUCAUCCCCAAUUGCGUAUGUACACGAAUGGAAGGAUGCUGAUAUCUGUUGUUUUCAAUCCAAUGAAAUAUGCAGACAAGGAUUUCUUUCUUA